UGGGGAAUUUUGGACAAUGGGCGAAAGCCUGAUCCAGCAAUGCCGCGUGUGUGAAGAAGGCCUUCGGGUUGUAAAGCACUUUUGUCCGGAAAGAAAUCCUUGGCUCUAAUACAGUCGGGGGAUGACGGUACCGGAAGAAUAAGCACCGGCUAACUACGUGCCAGCAGCCGCGGUAAUACGUAGGGUGCAAGCGUUAAUCGGAAUUACUGGGCGUAAAGCGUGCGCAGGCGGUUUGCUAAGACCGAUGUGAAAUCCCCGGGCUCAACCUGGGAACUGCAUUGGUGGCUGGCAGGCUAGAGUAUGGCAGAGGGGGGUAGAAUUCCACGUGUAGCAGUGAAAUGCGUAGAGAUGUGGAGGAAUACCGAUGGCGAAGGCAGCCCCCUGGGCCAAUACUGACGCUCAUGCACGAAAGCGUGGGGGAGCAAACAGGAUUAGAUACCCUGGUAGUCCACGCCCUAAACGAUGUCAACUAGUUGUUGGGGAUUCAUUUCCUAGUAACGUAGCUAACGCGUGAAGUUGACCGCCUGGGGAGUACGGUCGCAAGAUUAAAACUCAAAGGAAUUGACGGGGUCAU
This 574-nucleotide ribosomal RNA is filed under the name uncultured bacterium. Its description in RNAcentral is "partial 16S ribosomal RNA". It matches the Rfam family "Bacterial small subunit ribosomal RNA", at positions 355 to 922 of the family's 1533-position model. The record is from RNAcentral.